AGAGCGAACGCUGGCGGCGUGCUUAACACAUGCAAGUCGAACGCGCAGCAUUCUGUAGCAAUACAGGGUGUGGGCGCGUGGCGAACGGGUGCGUAACACGUGGAUAACCUUCCUUGAGGUGGGGAAUAACCCAGUGAAAAUUGGGCUAAUACCGCAUAACAUCGCGAUGGCACAUGCUGAUGCGAUCAAAGGCGCAAGUCGCCACAAGAGGGAUCCGCGGCCGAUUAGCUUGUUGGCGAGGUAAUGGCUCACCAAGGCAAUGAUCGGUAGCCGGACUGAGAGGUUGGCCGGCCACACUGGAACUGAGACACGGUCCAGACUCCUACGGGAGGCAGCAGUGGGGAAUCUUGCACAAUGGACGAAAGUCUGAUGCAGCAACGCCGCGUGGGGGAUGAAGCUUCUCGGAGUGUAAACCCUUUCGACCCGGAAGAAUGCCCGCAAGGGUAUGACGGUACGGGUAUAAGAACGCCCCGGCUAACUACGCGCCACG
Molecule: ribosomal RNA, 490 nt
Filed under: uncultured bacterium
Lineage: Bacteria
Description: SSU rRNA
Rfam family: Bacterial small subunit ribosomal RNA
Source: RNAcentral